GACGAACGCUGGCGGCGUGCUUAACACAUGCAAGUCGAACGGAAAGACCCUGCUUUUGUGGGGUUCUCGAUUGCCGAACGCGUGAGUAACACGUGAGUAACCUGCCCUUGACUUUGGGGUAACUUCAGGAAACUGGGGCUAAUACCGGAUAGGAUCUCCUGCUGCAUGGUGUGCGUUGGAAAGUUUCGGCUGUUGGGGAUGGACUCGCUGCUUAUGAGCUUGUUUGUGGGGUAGGUGCUUACCAAGGCUUUGACGGGUAGCCGGCCUGAGAGGGUGACCGGCGACAUUGGGACUGAGAGAGGGCCCAGACUGGUACGGGCGGCAGCAGUGGGGAAUAUUGCACAAUGGGCGGAAGCCUGAUGCAGAAACGCCGCGUGCGGGAUGACGGCUUUCGGGUGGAAAACCGCUUUCGCCUGUGACGAAGCGUGAGUGACGGUAACGGGUAAAGAAGCAACGGCUAACUACGUG
RNAcentral lists this ribosomal RNA (468 nucleotides) under uncultured bacterium. RNAcentral describes it as "partial 16S ribosomal RNA". It matches the Rfam family "Bacterial small subunit ribosomal RNA", at positions 28 to 507 of the family's 1533-position model. The record is from RNAcentral.